RNAcentral lists this ribosomal RNA (207 nucleotides) under uncultured bacterium. RNAcentral's name for it is "partial 16S ribosomal RNA". It matches the Rfam family "Bacterial small subunit ribosomal RNA", at positions 568 to 774 of the family's 1533-position model. The record is from RNAcentral.
CACGUAGGCGGCCUGGUAAGUCAGAUGUGAAAGCCCGGGGCUUAACCCCGGAAGUGCAUUUGAUACUGUCAGGCUUGAGUAUGGGAGAGGGAAGUGGAAUUCCUGGUGUAGGGGUGAAAUUCGUAGAUAUCAGGAGGAACACCGGUGGCGAAGGCGACUUCCUGGACCAAUACUGACGCUGAGGUGCGAAGGCGUGGGUAGCAAACA